CCUACGGGUGGCAGCAGUGAGGAAUAUUGCACAAUGGGCGCGACCCUGAUGCAGCCACGCCGCGUGAAUGAAGAAGUACUUAGUUGCGUAAAACUCUAUCAACAGAGGAGAAAAUGGCGGUACGUGAGUAAUAAGCCCCGGCUAACUACAUUCCAGCAGCCGCGGUACUACGUAGGGGGCCAGCGUUAUCCGGAUUUACUGGGUGUAAAGGGAGCGUAGACGGUUCGCUAAGUCUGGAGUGAAAUUUCGCAGCUGAACUGUGGAACUGAGUUGGAAACUGGCGAACUAGAGUGCGGGAGGGGUAAGCGGAAUUCGUAGUGUAGCGGUGAAAUGCGUAGAUAUCAGGAGGAACACCGGUGGCGAAGGCGGCUUACUGGACCGUAACUGACGUUGAGGCUCGAAAGUGUGGGGAGCAAACAGGAUUAGAUACCCCUGUAGUC
Molecule: ribosomal RNA, 440 nt
Filed under: uncultured bacterium
Lineage: Bacteria
Description: partial 16S ribosomal RNA
Rfam family: Bacterial small subunit ribosomal RNA
Source: RNAcentral